This is a long non-coding RNA of Etheostoma cragini (Arkansas darter), 84 nucleotides long. RefSeq lists it as uncharacterized. The record is from RefSeq and is a predicted model, not a curated record. The transcript has 4 exons. NCBI's taxonomy places the organism in Eukaryota, Metazoa, Chordata, Actinopteri, Perciformes, Percidae.
AAAUGAACCAAGACAACAAAAUCUGCAAGUCGGGAAGCAAGACGCUCUGCUUCUGAGACGCUCCCGAACCAUGACGUUGGAAUC